CGUCAAUCAUGAGAAUUCUGCGCCCUUUUCCCCAGGCUUCUUUGCAGUAAGAGUGUCCACUUGUUCCAGUUCUGUCCAAAGACAGCUAAGCAGAGGUCCGAAGUGGAGAUUCAUAUCAAGUAUUGCUUUUCUGAAAGGAGGGUCCAGAUGUGGCUGGCUCCUCACCCUCCCGCUUCCUGCCUGAAGUGUGAGUAUGUGAGGAUGCUAUCCAGAACCCUCCUGCCCCUUUAUUUCAGAAUCUGUCUCCUGCCAAGAAAUGGGAAACAGAGUCAUGAGUUCAGUUGGGAGGGCUGGCAAGGCUGGCUGGGAUCCAAGAGAGAGGGAAAGUCCACCCUGGCCACUCACCCAGAGGUUACUUGUAGCCUAGACCAGAGAGUCCAUGGCCAACUGGGCAGGACUGAGGAAAGGUCAGCCCCUCCUGACAAUUUGCCCAGUGGUUCCUGUUUACUGGUCCUGACAUUGACAUCUGGAGUAUGGGGGGGUAGACAGAGGUCCCUUCACUGUUGAGUCCUGGUGAUCAGCACUUUCCUAUGCCUCUCUCGGUUCCCCUGUUCUCCCAGUUCCAUCUAUAGUUACUCAAAAUAGUAGCUAAUCAAAAUAAUGUGGAAUGGAGGAUGGAUGAUGGAUGGAUGAAGGAAUGAAGGGGAAAUAUAGUUACGAGAGGCUUGUUUCCACACCUGUGAGCUGACAGCUGCUCUGCCAUUCUCAGCCAGGUAUUAUCAUGCCCAUUUAACAGAGGAGGAAACUGGAGCUCCGUAAGGCUAAUUGACUUUCCCAAGGUCAUAAGAAUUGGAGGAGAUAAGGCUAGGAUCCAAAGCCCAAUGCUGGUCCUAAUUCCUGGGCAGAGGCCUCUUCUGCCUCCCCUCCAGGACAUCAUCUCCAGGCCAUGGUAGGCUCAAUCUAUAGGGACAUAGGCAAAGUAUCUGCCAUGACCUCAGUGAAACAUGAAAGGAACUUUCUUUUUUUUUAAUUUUUUUUUUUUAGUUGUAGAUGGACACAAUACCUUUAUUUUAUUUUUAUAUGGUGCUGACGAUUGAACCCAGGGCCACCUGCAUGUGAGGGGAGCCCUCUACCACUGAGCUACAACCCCAGCCCAUGAAAGGAACUUUCCUGAUAUGAGCCUGGGCAGCUGCCAGGAACUGCCUCUGCAUCCCCCUCCCCUCCCCGUUCUGCUCUUGGGACCGCCAAGAACGCGUCACCUCCUUAGCAGGUGCUCAGUACAUAUUUGUAGAGUGAAUGAGUUGCCUUGUAUCAGUGCAAAUUCCUCAAGAAAAAGUCACAGGCGGCAAAAUCCCAAGAAAGCAGGUAAAAUUGACGUCACAUUUCUCAGCUUUGCAAUAGAUUGGAAUGUGCAUUCUGGUGGCAGAACAAGCCCCCUGCCAUGCUCACAAGCCCAACACAUUCAUCACCGCCAUCAGAAUAGAACAGUUAAUGUGCACACUUGCCAAUGCCACUCGCUAUUCCAAGCAUGUGAUGUAAAUCAUCUCAUUUCAGCAACCUGAUGAGGGAGGUGUCAUGGCUGUCCUCCUUAUAUGGCUAAGGAAUCCGAGGCUCAAAGAGGUGAAGGGACUUGACAAAGGCCACCCAGCUCUUUAGUGCCCUAUUCACAUUCAAAGCCAAAAAGAUUCAUGGUGGAUGGAGCUGUAGGACUGGGCUGGGGGACAAAUGCCCCUCUGGAAUCUGGACAGAGGAUGGUUCAGUAAAAGAGCUGAGGGGAAGAGAGGAGCAAGAUCCUGAAGCAGUGGUGGAUGAGGACAUAUCAUUUCAGCAGGCCUUUCCUUGUCCUGUGCCAGGCUCAGCCCUGGUGUGACCACUCAGCUGACAUGAUUGUGUGUGUGUUUUUGGGGGUGGGGGCAGUGGAUUGGAAGGAACCUGGCUGGGCUGUUGUGAUUGAGAUUCCCAUGGAGAUGCUGGUGACUCAUGUGCCCUUCCCAGCCAGCUGGGCCUCUAUCAGGGUGUGACUUAUAAUAAACAAGGUCAUAAAAUGCCAUUUGGCAUUUUGCCAGGCUGGAAGGAAGUGGAGAGAAGAGGAGAGAGAUUGAGGUGACCCUCUGUCUCCUGCUGGACCCAGGUCUCAUGGGGGCCCAGCAUCCUGGGCUCUCUAGAGUUCCUACUUGAUGUCCAGCCUCUGGGGUCAAAGGAAACUCUUCUUUGCCUAAGUGAAGCAAGUUGGAAAAGGUCACUCCUAGUACAUUCUGACCUCUUUUUUUCUGUAAUGUUCUAGGAACUCCAUUGCCCUUCUGUGGCUCCACAGUGCAGGUAUUCUUGCCUGGGCUAUGGCUCCUGCUGCCUAGAUGAUACCUUUUGGGGGACUUCUAAAAAACGUGCAUAGGUAAAGCAACCCACACACCAUUAACUGGCACCUACUCUAAGUCCGGCAGUGGAUGACUUGAAACAGAGUUCAACAAAGGUAUGUAGCCUUACCAAGUGACCAAAGAGGCCCGGAAUUCUUAGGCCAGAGGAGAAAACAGAGGAGGCACAUCCCAGCCCUGAAGGAACCUAAAACUUCACUCACAGUAAUAUCACAAUUAGCAGAACAAUUAGGUGUUAGGUUGUGAGACUUUCCCUGGGUGCUGUAGGAUUUUCAUGUUCUGCAGAUAAACAACAAAGCAUCUCAGAAGGAUUUGUCUGGAUUCUGGAGGCUGGAAGUGUGAAAUCAAGAUGGCCGCAGGGUUGGUUCCUUCUAAGCCUGUAAGGGGACUCUGUUGUCCUCAUCUGUACCUCUCCUCUAGCUUCUGGUGGUGUGCCGCAAUCUAAUGCCUUGUCUAUAUACUGCUGAAGAGAGAUUAAUAAGAUGCUUUAUAUCACCCAAUCUCUCUGCCUUCAGCUCACGCAGUAUUCUCAGAGUGUGUGUGUGUGCGCACAUGCACAUGUGUGUCCACAUUACUUUAUAGGGAUAUCAGUCAUGGGAAUAGGGGCCCAGCUCUACUCAUCUUAACUAAUCACACCUGGAAAGACCCUACUUCCAAAUAAGAUCACACUCAUUCUAAGAUGCUGGGGUUAGGGCUUCAAUAUAAUUUAUGGGGGCACAUUUUUCAACUCAAAACAGAUGGGGAACUGCCUCCCUCUCCAGGAGCCUCUUCUAAAUUUGGAUCACUUGUGCCAGCCUGGAGAUCACCAAAAAGUCCUCCUGAAAAUCACCUGCAAAUGCCUGGCCCAGCCCUGGGAGAGGUGCAAAGGGUAAGGGGCACCACAUUUCUUUUCUUGGAUCCCAGGUGUGAUCAGCCCCACCCUAGGUGAUGGUCUCUGUUAAUGAUAACCACCUGGAGAGCAAGAAAGAGAAAACUGAUAAAGGCCAGAAGGUUACAAAUAAUCCAAGAGGUGUGUGUGUGUGGGGGUGGGGACGGGGAUGCUUAGAAGACCUUUGCCCUCUGAAACUUUGAUUUACAAACUGCACAGCUAUCAGGUCACCCAGGGCUGUGGAGGCUAUGAAAAACGUCACCAGCUGAUAUAGCUCUCUGCUUGGCAGCCUGGGAAUUUCUAAUUCUGGGGAAGUAUGACUGUAACACUGUGGUCCAUCUCUCUUUCUUUCUGUCCCACAGCCCUUCAAUACCCUCUGGAGAGUGGGAGGGGAUCUGGUGGAGGCACUGUCCCUAUAAGUGGAGGGGAUGGGCUCAGGAGAAUUGUACUGUCCUCCAGAGCCCGUAGGUGACUGGUACUAAGCUCAGUCCCUUUAUAGUAGAUGUGACUUGGGAAAGUCACAGUGUUUAUUUAAGUCUCUGUUUUCUCAUCUGCACAAUAGGAAUGAGAAGGAAGGGUGACCCUGCCUGCCUUACCAGUUAUGGCAAGGAGCAAUCUAAGAGGUGUGACUCGGCCCGGGGAUGCAGAAGGACUAAGGUGGCACCAGGUCUCGUCAGCACAUUAGUUCCACCUCACUUGUCACAUAAACAUGAAGUCUGUUCAGGGCGAGGUGUCAGCUGCAGGGUGCUCACCACCCAGAGUGUGGUUCUGUGUGGGGCAACAUCAGCAUCCCUGAGAUCUUGUCCGAGAUGCUGACUCUCUGACCCAUCCCAGACCUGCUGAACCAGAAUCUGCACUUUAACAAGAGCCCCAAGAGAUCUGUGCACUCAUUAAAGUUCAAAAAGCUCUGCUUCAGUGGACAUUAUUUCUCUUG
This 4114-nucleotide long non-coding RNA is filed under the name Marmota monax (woodchuck). Lineage: Eukaryota; Metazoa; Chordata; Mammalia; Rodentia; Sciuridae. The record is from RNAcentral.